This 253-nucleotide ribosomal RNA is filed under the name uncultured bacterium. RNAcentral describes it as "partial 16S ribosomal RNA". It matches the Rfam family "Bacterial small subunit ribosomal RNA", at positions 524 to 776 of the family's 1533-position model. The record is from RNAcentral.
UACGAAGGGGGCUAGCGUUGCUCGGAAUUACUGGGCGUAAAGCGCGUGUAGGCGGCUAAGUAAGUCGGGCGUGAAAUCCCACGGCUCAACCGUGGAAGUGCACUCGAAACUGCAUAGCUAGAGUCCUGGAGAGGAAGGUGGAAUGCUUGGUGUAGAGGUGAAAUUCGUAGAUAUCAAGCGGAACACCGGUGGCGAAGGCGGCCUUCUGGACAGUGACUGACGCUGAGACGCGAAAGCGUGGGGAGCAAACAGG